This 984-nucleotide ribosomal RNA is filed under the name human gut metagenome. Its description in RNAcentral is "bacterial LSU rRNA". It matches the Rfam family "Bacterial large subunit ribosomal RNA", at positions 1945 to 2925 of the family's 2925-position model. The record is from RNAcentral.
ACGGUCCUAAGGUAGCGAAAUUCCUUGUCAGGUAAGUUCUGACCCGCACGAAAGGCGUAAUGAUUUGGGCACUGUCUCAACAGCCCGCCCGGCGAAAUUGUAGUACCGGUGAAGAUGCCGGUUACCCGCGACAAGACGGAAAGACCCCAUGGAGCUUUACUGCAGCCUAAUAUUGGAUUUCGGUAUUUCAUGUACAGGAUAGGUGGGAGACUGGGAAACACAGGCGUCAGCUUGUGCGGAGUCGCCCUUGGGAUACCACCCUUGAAGUGCUGGAAUUCUAACCUGUGGCCAUGAAUCUGGUCAGGGGACAUUGUUAGGCGGGCAGUUUGACUGGGGCGGUCGCCUCCAAAAGAGUAACGGAGGCGCUCAAAGGUUCGUUCAGCACGGACGGAAAUCGUGCAUUGAGUGUAAACGCAUAAACGAGCCUAACUGCGAGACCGACGGGUCGAGCAGUAACGAAAGUUGGAGUUAGUGAUCCGGUGGUAUGUGAGUGGAAAUGCCAUCGCUCAACGGAUAAAAGCUACCCUGGGGAUAACAGGCUGAUCUCCCCCAAGAGUCCACAUCGACGGGGAGGUUUGGCACCUCGAUGUCGGCUCAUCGCAUCCUGGGGCUGUAUUCGGUCCCAAGGGUUUGGCUGUUCGCCAAUUAAAGCGGUACGCGAGCUGGGUUCAGAACGUCGUGAGACAGUUCGGUCCCUAUCUGUCGUGGGCGCAGGAUAUUUGAAAGGAGCUGUCCCUAGUACGAGAGGACCGGGAUGGACGCACCUCUGGUGCACCAGUUGUCACGCCAGUGGCACAGCUGGGCAGCUAUGUGCGGAUCGGAUAAACGCUGAAGGCAUCUAAGCGUGAAACCGGCCUUAAGAUAAGAUAUCCCACUGAGUCAAUCAGGUAAGACCCCUUGAAGACUACAAGGUAGAUAGGCACAAUGUGUAAGCAUGGUGACAUGUUAAGCUAGCGUGUACUAAUCGGUCGAGGGCUUGACCAA